GACUGGGCUCUGCUGCCAAGAAAAGCCUCUAAGCGAUGAAGACUAGGCGUCCGUACCGCAGACCGACACAGGUGGGCCGGUAGAGGAUACCAAGGCGAACGGGAGAACCCUCGUUAAGGAAUUAGGCAACUUAGCCCCGUAACUUCGGGAAAAGGGGCGCCUCUGAGAGUGAACUAUAAGCAUAGGGAGCUUUUGGGGGUCGCAGAGAAAUGGCUCUAGUGACUGGUUACCAAAACCACAGGUCUCUGCUAACGCGUAAGCGGCAGUAUAGGGGCUGACACCUGCCCAGUGCCGGUAGGUUAAAGGGAGAGGUUAGGCGCAAGCCGAAGCUUUGAACUGAAGCCCCGGUGAACGGCGGCCGUAACGAUAACGGUCCUAAGGUAGCGAAAUUCCUUGUCGGGUAAGUUCCGACCCGCACGAAUGGUGUAACAACUAGAGCACUGUCUCAACGAGGGGCCCGGCGAAAUUGAAAACGCGGUAAAGAUGCUGUGUACCCGCAGCAGGACAAAAAGACCCCGUGGAGCUUUACUGUAGUUUGGCACUGGAUUAGGGUUGCGUUUGUGUAGCAUAGGUGGGAGACGCAGAAGCUGGGACGCCAGUCUCGGUGGAGUCGGCGGUGAAAUACCACCCUGGCGCAAUCUUGAUUCUAACCAGAGCCCGUAAACCGGGCUGGGGACCGUGCCAGGCAGGCAGUUUGACUGGGGUGGUCGCCUCCCAAAGAGUAACGGAGGCGCUCAAAGGUUCCCUCAGGUGGCAUGGAAACCCACCGCAGAGUGCAAAGGCAAAAGGGAGCUUGACUGUGAGGCAAACAGGCCGAGCAGGGACGCAAGUCGGACUUAGUGAUCCCACGGUACCGAGUGGAAGGGCCGUGGCUUACCGGAUAAAAGCUACCCCGGGGAUAACAGGGUGGUGAGGCCCAAGAGUUCACAUCGACGGCCUCGCUCGCCACCUCGAUGUCGGCUCGUCACAUCCUGGGGCUGGACAAAGUCCCAAGGGUUGGACUGUUCGUCCAUUAAAGUGGCACGCGAGCUGGGUUCAGACCGUCGUGAGACAGGUCGGUCUCUAUCCGCUGUGGGCGAAGGGGAUUUGAGGGGAGCUGCCUUCAGUACGAGAGGACCAGGGUGGACGGACCGCUGGUGUGCCAGUUGUGGUGCCAACCGCAUCGCUGGGUAGCCAGGUCCGGCAGGGAUAACCGCUGAAAGCAUCUAAGUGGGAAGCCCGCCCCAAGAUGAGAUCCCCCACACCGAGAGGUGGUAAGACCGCGGGAAGACUACCCGUUAGAUAGGCAGGAAGUGUAAGCACUGCAAGGUGUUGAGCUAACCUGUACUAAAGGUCGAGGGCUUCUUCCG
This 1349-nucleotide ribosomal RNA is filed under the name metagenome. RNAcentral describes it as "bacterial LSU rRNA". It matches the Rfam family "Bacterial large subunit ribosomal RNA", at positions 1593 to 2925 of the family's 2925-position model. The record is from RNAcentral.